UUUGAUCCGCGGUAUGUGCAGUUCGUUUGUUCUGGCCCUGCUUUGUUUUAACUUCUUCGAGCCCAGCCCAUUUAUCAUCUCCACCAGGUGAAAUGUCGCAUCGUCGUUGAGGGUUCCACCCGUGUUCUUCUUCUUCGCCUCUCCAGAGCUCAUGGCGAUUACGGAUUCACAAGCUAUAUUUCUUUCAUCUGCUUCAUCACAGUACGAAAGGAUACCAGUUACCGAAUAAGCCUCUUUAAACCCUCCAUUAAUCUAUCUCCCACGCUCUAUAUUCAUUGAGAGUUCUGAUUUUGCAAGGCGGUGAAGGUUCUACUAUAAAAAGUUUUCCUCUCCGAUUUGCAGACGGCCGCUCCUCCUCCACUGUUCAAGUCCAGUUGUUCUGUCUCUGGGAAGCCAGGAAUUUCCGCCGUGGUGGUGUGCUCAUGGGAGUGGAUAUGCUUCUGCUGGAUUCUCAGUAUAAUCAAUGAAAGAACGAAGAGAUGAUUAGCCCUGCGUUCGCCAUGAAAUCUGUGGAGUUUUAGUUCUGCUUGCUGUUCUAACAUCAGUCAGCUGAUGUGAUAGAGUUGCAGAUUGGUGUCAAGGUAUGCUGAAAAAUCUCUUUCACGUCGUCAAAUGUUUGAUGCAAUUGGUACCAACUUCCAUGGUGAAUUUGAUUUCUCAAUCUGUGUGAGUGGUAGAUGACUCAGUAUUGAAUUAUUCAUUUUUACAAUUCAAGUCUCAGAAACGUGAUGUUCAGACUCACAAAGGAGACAGUAUCAAGGUCCACUAUCGGAUAAGUGUCGUAUUAAAUAAUUUUGUUACGAUAAGCAGUCUAUGCUGGUGUAAGGAAUCAAAUUUGACGUGGCUCUGGUCUUACAUACUUAGACAUUGGUGUUGUUCGCAAGCAAUACUCACUCUUCUUUUUGUUUGAUACACCGAGAGAUUGUGUUGCUGUUCGGGGUGAAAAUUGAAGUAUUGAUUAUUAUUAAGAUUGCCUAGAUGAAGUAUGAGUAUUGGGGGCUGUUCGUUUUUUUUUCAUUCAGAUGAGCCAUCUGAGUGAAGAUGAGAGUUUUGUAGGUUUAGUCACUAAAAGUACAAGUCAUCUCGAUGGUUCAUCUGAAUGAGUUUUAAAAAUUUAGGCUUAAUUUCAAAAAUCAGCUGGCUGAUCCAAAUGAGAUCAUCUAGAUGGAUAUGAGUUUAUCAAAAUGGGAUAAUGUCUAUUAUACCUCAGUGUAAUUAACAAAUUACAGACUCAAACAUAAUAUCAUUUUAUCACUCAUGAAAAACGACAAAACCACAAAAAUAUAUAUUUUCCCUCCAAAACUACAAAACACAUUUUUCUGCCAAAACCACAAACAUAAUUUUUCACCAAAAUCGCAAUUUUCUCGUAAAAAAUAUACUUUCCCGCCAAAAUAGAUGUUCUCGUCAAAACUACAAAAACGCACUUUCACAUCAAAACACGUUUUCCCGUAAAAACUCCAAAAACGCAUUUUCCGCCAAACCCGCAAAAACAUGUUUUCCCACCAAACCUGCAAAACCAUUUUUUCCGCCAAACCCACAAAAUGCGUUUUCCCGUCAAAACUAUAAAAUCGCGUUUUCCCGUCAAAAUCAUAAAAACGUGGUUUCUAACCAAAGCCGCAAAAGCAAAUUUUCCUGCCAAAACCGCAAAAAUGAGUUUCUCACCAAAACCGCAAAAAUGCAUUUUCCUGCUAAAACCGCAAAAAUAUGUGUUUCCCGCCAAAACUGCUAAAACGCGUUUUCCCGCGAAACCCGCCAAAAUGUGUUUCCCGCCAAAUCCGUAAAAACGUGGUUUCUUGGCAAAAACCCAAAAACGCAUUUUAGUGCCAAAAUCGUAAAAGGUGUUUUCCCGCCAAAAUCUUAAAAACACGUUUUCCCACCAAAACUUUAAAAGUGUGUUUUUCCACCAAAACCGCAAAGCAUAUUUUUCCGCUAAAAAUGCAAAAUUUGAGUACAUAAUGCUCUUACCAUUGCUUUCAUAUUUUAAAUUUUAGUUUUAUAAAAUUUGAGUUUCCACUUUAAAUUUCUACUUUGAGUUGUUUGGAAGUUUAUUCAAAUUUGAGUUUCUAUUUUGAGUUUGAUUAAAAGUUAUAGUUGUAUUAAAUUCUAAUGAAAAUUUAAUUAAAAAUAAAAAAUUAUUUAAAUAAAAUAAAUAUAUUUUUUAAAAAAUAAAAAUAAAUAAAUAAAUUUAUAUGAAAUAAAAAUUUGUAAAUGUGAAAUGUUAAUUUUAAAAUAAUUUCAGUAGAAAUAUAUUUUAUACUAAAUAAUAAAAAUUAGUAUAGCUAAAUUUAAUAUUAAGCAUAUGAUUAAUUCAAAACAUGGGUAUGUUUGUAAUUUGUUUAUUAAACAUAUCUGGAUGGAAAUAGAAAUAAAGAAAUAAACAUAAAAUUCAUGUAGAUGACUCAUUUAGAUGGCUCAUCUGGAUAGAGAAACGAACAGCUCCUAAAAUCUGGAUGGAUCAUUUGGAUGGAUCACAUAGAUAAAGCAGCUGGAUGGAGAUGGUAGAUGGAAAAACGAACAGCCCCUUGGUCUCUCUCACAUAUGAAUUUCUUUGCAAGUAACUCAAAUGUGUUUUAGUAUGAAGUUUAUGAAAAAUGUCCAUAUGAAGAUAA
Molecule: long non-coding RNA, 2609 nt
Organism: Brassica napus (rape)
Lineage: Eukaryota; Viridiplantae; Streptophyta; Magnoliopsida; Brassicales; Brassicaceae
Exons: 4
Source: RefSeq, a predicted model, not a curated record